GGAAGAUAUUGCGACUGGUAUGUUUUGAAAAUAGCCAACACAAUUCAACGUCUUCCUGUUGGUACUGAUGUAGCCUCUUCUAUGUCUGAAGGAGAAAACAAAAAGCCUGGAAGAAUGCAAAAAGGCUUUGUUCUUUUACUGUAUAGUGACUAUUACAUCCAAAUAGCCAUUUGUUCUUCUGCAAAAGAGAAAAAAAAGGCAGGUAGUAUCCAUUUUUGAAUAAAG
Non-coding RNA from Pelobates cultripes (western spadefoot toad), 225 nucleotides. NCBI's taxonomy places the organism in Eukaryota, Metazoa, Chordata, Amphibia, Anura, Pelobatidae. The record is from the annotation of a GenBank genome assembly.